Long non-coding RNA from Carassius auratus (goldfish), 1601 nucleotides. RefSeq lists it as uncharacterized. The transcript is spliced from 4 exons. The record is from RefSeq and is a predicted model, not a curated record. NCBI's taxonomy places the organism in Eukaryota, Metazoa, Chordata, Actinopteri, Cypriniformes, Cyprinidae.
UGAGGGUGGAAGAGAGCGCUGUUCAUUCACUCACUCCCACCUACAACUCCUGCCAGCACCGAGACUUGAACCAGAUACCUUCUUGUAAGUAGUCCAAGUCUCUAACAAUUAGGCCACAAACUUGUGCGAACUUCUAUGUCAAAAUCAAAUUCUCCAGUCAAAAACCCUUACAUGAUCUAUCAAUAUCAAACUUUGGCCUCAGAUGACAAAACCUACAGUACAAAUACACACACUACAAUAGUUUAGCUUCCUUAAAUAUAAUAAGUUAUCUUUACUUAGUUGUUAUACUUACUAGGUUUUAUUAAGUUACAAAAUUUGCUAAUUUUAAGGCAAAUAAAACAACAUGCUGCAAUGAGUAAUUCUUUCUUAAAAUAUUCAAGUAGCUACAACAAAACCGAUUACAUUAAUUCACCAGUGAGAGGCAGCAGUGCGCUAAUGUGCAACAGGAACAAAACAACAGAAGAAGAAAUAAGGACGGUGAGCAUGCGCAAGUUUUGAAGCUGCGUCGAAUUUGCUGAAACUAUAAGAAGUAGAAAGACUGUUUACAUUUCACCUCUGGACAAAGAAUGAUUGAUUACUUCUACACAAUAAUAAUAAGGAAAAAAGCUUGUGUCAGCUGUCUUCUCUGAGCAGCGGUCUUGUGAUCACCGGUCUCAGUAUAAUAAAGAUUUGACAGAACUACACACCCAUCUGAUGCCUACCUGUUUUAAUUCAUGAUCCCCCCGGAUACUUCUACAACUAACCCGCCUUGGUGUCUGAUGCUGAUGCAGUCUGGGCACUAGUAUCUGUUGGCUUGCUGACUAUCACUGACGAUGAAGUACUUCUCCAAAUCUUGACCCAGUGUCUUCUGCCAUCAUUGUUCAGGGUAGUACUGCAAAGAAUAGUCUCCAGGGUCUGCCUCCAACAUUUGCUUCCCGACCACCAAGUGCUACGUUUGCAUCACUACAUGUGGGUUACCCUGAUACUGUGAAGAGCACCUACAAUAUGAUGCUUGACUUGGGACAGAAAAAAAAACAUUGGCAACUUGUGUGGCCAACUCAUUGCCGUAUUUAAAAUCAUUGUACUGCUACCUCCAUUGUUUAACAUAACUAAAAGCAGAUUGUUUUUGCUUUGUUUCAAAAUUUUUGUAAUACGAGUUAAAACUACAUUGAAAAAAAUAUAUCAUCUUUAACUUUGAACUGUCACUACAUUUGAUUUAGGGUAAUGUGUGUGAAGAAUAGAACAUUAAAGGCAAUUGGUCAACUAGAUUUCUGUUCAAGUAAAUACAACUUAGAAAUUCCAAGUUGCAGGAAAUGUUUCUUGAUUUAGCUAAAUUUAAAUUAGUUGUUUGAAAUACGUACAUAGUAUAAUGUACUUAAUUUAGUUGUUGAAAAUAGUAAUUCUGAGUUACACGUUUACAACACUUAUAAAUAAACCUUUGUUAGUACAAAUUACUAUUCUUAUUUCACUUGUUUUUUUCAAGGCAAUCGGUUUGCAUGCUUUUUUUUAAAUAAGGUUUACUCAUUAUAAUUUACAGUGCAGACAACCUCCCUGCUCAGUGCACACUAGUGAGAUAAAAUCAAAACACUGUAAUUGUAAUAAAGUACUGUUACUAUACUGUA